GACUUCGUAGCUCAGUUGGUAGAGCAGCUGACUCUUAAUCAGCGGGUCCAGGGUUCGAAUCCCUGCGGGGUCA
This 73-nucleotide transfer RNA is filed under the name Sphingobacteriales bacterium. Its description in RNAcentral is "tRNA-Lys". It matches the Rfam family "tRNA". From Rfam's summary of the family: Transfer RNA (tRNA) molecules are approximately 80 nucleotides in length. Their secondary structure includes four short double-helical elements and three loops (D, anti-codon, and T loops). Further hydrogen bonds mediate the characteristic L-shaped molecular structure. tRNAs have two regions of fundamental functional importance: the anti-codon, which is responsible for specific mRNA codon recognition, and the 3' end, to which the tRNAs corresponding amino acid is attached (by aminoacyl-tRNA synthetases). tRNAs cope with the degeneracy of the genetic code in two manners: having more than one tRNA (with a specific anti-codon) for a particular amino acid; and 'wobble' base-pairing, i.e. permitting non-standard base-pairing at the 3rd anti-codon position. Lineage: Bacteria; Pseudomonadati; Bacteroidota; Sphingobacteriia; Sphingobacteriales. The record is from RNAcentral.